CUGAUGGGGUAGGAUGGACCGGGGCCAUGGUUGGGGGUUGGGGGUCAGUUAAGGAAGACGUCAUGGAGGAGGUGGGUUUAUUCUAAGGGGCGUAGAGGGAGGGAGGAACGUGGUUGGCAGAUUUGUUGGCAGGGGGAGUUCCAGGCAGGGAAAGAGGGUGAGCAGUGAUUUGGAGAUGAGAGUCGCAAAUGAGGAAGAAUUAGAUGAUGCACUGGGGAGGAGCACAGAGAAGGAGCCGGGCCAGACUGGGAGAACGGAGCCGUGACUAAGGGGGGGAACGGUUGGCGGAGAGCCUGGAAGCUGAAGCCUUUUGGAGGGAAGGGGGUUAGGACAGUGGGUGUCCCGUGGUGAGGACCUCCCUUCCCCUUCCCGUGGCACAGAAGAGCCAGGGCGGUUACGAAGAAUGAGCCCAAGAAAGGGGCUGCCCCCUCCCCCACCCCCUUCAGAACCCUGGGCUUUAUUUCCUAGGCAAACGGUCAGGGGGACGGGUGUCCAGUGAGACCUCUGACCUCUCCCCCGGGCCCCAUCCCCUCCUCUCCCAGGCACGGCUCCGGAAAGGAUGUCGGGGCCGAGGUGAGCGUUCCCCACGGGGGUGGUGGUCACAGGGUCCCGCUGACAGUCCGCACUUGAACGACGCUCCUUCUCCACGGGGAGUCCAGGCCCAGAGUAGGGAAGGGAUCGGUUCAAGGUCAAACGAUAAGGUGCCCACGAGAGGCCAUCAGCGCCCUUACCCAUGAGAACUUUCCUUGUCAGUAAUCAGUCUCGGGGACAGAAAUCACCUCGGCUCCCGGUUAAAAGGGUCGCGCGUGGAACUGGCAAUGUGGAUCUGCCUGAGGGGACCCCGGACAGGAGACCUCAAUCCUGACGGCAUCGUCCGGUAGGGGAGGCCCCCAUCCCACCUCAGUUCCUCGGGCGCCAGAAGCCUCUGGCUCCUUGCCCUACUUUGACCCCGGGACUGACUUUCCGGCCACCAACCUGGGCCCCCCAAAAGCCCAGGCUGUAGAAAGUCGGCGUGCCCCCCGCCCCCGAGACCAAACAGCUGGCAGGGUGCCCGGGUGUGUAGCGGGGAGAGGGCGGAGCGUCACUGGGGCAGCCUCUUCGCCCAGCCGCGACCCGCUCCCCAGCAGGAAAACAGUUAAAAUCACCGGACGUUCUCAGGCUCUUCCAGCUGAGGAUUCGGAAAUCUCCGGCGGGAUUAAAUUCCCCUCAACGGCUAACGCAAACCAGAGCCCUUCACCCGAGCAUUCCCGCCCCUCAGCAGGCCGCCGGGCCUCUCCAUCCGGGCCCCGCCGGGCCCCGACCCCGGGGGGGGAGGGAAGCAGAAACGGGCGAUCGGGGAGGAGAAAGGACGGGACUCACCCGGGAGGAGCCUCCAUCGGAACCAGGCGAGGCAAGGCUCUGGCCUGGGCUGCUCUGAUUUCCUCCUGGCCGAGAGGCUAUUACUAUUAUUUCUACCGAUCGCCGGGAUGGUGGAAAGUAUGGGAAGCAGGACGGAACGGCCAGCACCCAGACAUCAGCUGUCAAUCGUGUGAACUCCUGGAUCAACCCGGAUCCACACGUGAGGAAACUCUACGACCGACUGGCUCCCUGAUCUCCCAUCCUAACAUUUUCAGAUCAACAGGGGGUGACGUGAGUUGGCCAAAGCGAUUCUAUAGCGUCCUGCCUGGUCUGGUCCGGGCCCUCAAAUCCCCAGCCCUUGCGGUCCGAUCAGGUGGACGCAAAGAUAAACUUACUUGUGUUUCGGCUGGGUUCGGAUACUUCCUCAGCUGCCCCUGCAGGCCCACCUUCCUAACUCUUUUGAACUGGGCGGUACAGCAACUGGAGUGAUGACAGGCUGAAAGAGAAGCCUGGCUUGAGACAAAGGGAGACAGGCCUCAUUCCUGGGGCGUGCUAUCAAACAGGUGGGUGACCUUGCCCGGGUUCAGUUGUCUCCUGGGCAGGUGGGACUAUAACGCCCGGCGGCCCUGAGCAACGGGUGCCGAGAAACGAGAUCUGGGCCCUACCGGUGCCGCUGGGACUCGUUUCUGGUCCGGCUCGGUCCCAAGCUGGACUUUGAAUAUCAACCAAUUCAAGAGGGCCUGGAGGUCUGUGAUGAGGGGGAGUCAGGGAUGGAGAAGACAGAGUCAGGAGGGUUGGAUGAUGGUCCAUCCCAAGCCGGGAAGGAAGUCAGGGAUGGACACAAUUCCCCCCAACUUUCCCGGUGUCGCUGUUAGAGACAGAAUCCCGGGAUAAACGGACCCAGGGCUGAAGGGGGGGAGGGGGGGCAUUACCGAGGGCCCAGCAGAGGUCCGGAAGAAGGUGGGGAGGGAGUGAUAUUUCAAAUCCCUGACAGGGUUAUAGCAGCAGUUAAGCAGCAGGAAGCGUCUUAUCAGAUCUUAAUUUUUUUUUUCCCCAAGCUCCCCACGAAGGAGUGUCUGAAGAAUGUUCUUGUGCAUCUGCCUCUCUGAAUUGGCAGUGAGGAGCCGGGAGAAGCAGCCGGGGAAGCGGAAUGCAGAGCCAACAGUCCCCCCCAUCUCUUUUAUUUCUGCCUCCAGCUCCCCCCGGCCCCGUUUCCCCCUCUCUUCCCUUCUUGCUGUUUCCCCCAGCUCUCCCCUCGCUUCUCCCCCUCCUUCUCCAUUCCUGUCUCUGUCUUUUCCACUUUGCCUUCCUCCUAACCCCAAUUCCCCCCCUCCCAUUUUGCAAAAGAAGCAUGGAGUAGCGAUGAUGACGAGGACAAUGAUGAGGGUAUUUGUUAAGCGCUUACUAUGUGCCAGGCACUGUUCUAAGCACUGAUGGAGCACGGGCCUGGGAGUCAGCACGUCAUGGGUUCUAAUCCCGGUUCUUUCCCUUAGCUGUGUGACCUUGGGCAAGUCACUCGACAGCAUGGUUCAGUGGAAAGAGCACGGGCUUAGGAGUCAGGGGUCAUGGGUUCUAAUCCCCACUGCCACCUGUGUGACUUGGAACACUUCUCGGUGCCUCAGUUCCUUCAUCUAUAAAAUGAGGAUGAAGACCGUGAGUCUCAGGUGGGUCAACCUGAUUACCCUGUAUCUACCCCAGCGCUCAGAACAGUGCUCGGCACCAAGUAAAUGCUUAAAACAUACCAACCGACAUUAUUAUUAUUACUGGACGUCUCUUCAACCUGUUACCUCAUCAGUAAAAUGGGGAUGAAGACCGUGAGCCUCACGUGGGCCAACCUGACUACCCCGUAUCUCCCCCAGCGCUUAGAACAGAGCUUGGCACCUAGUAAGUGCUUAACAACUACCAACCAACAUUAUAUUAUUAUUACUUGACGUCCCUUCGACUCAAGUUGCCUCAUCCCUAAAACUGUAAGCCCGUCACUGGGCAGGGAUGGUCUCUACCUGUUGCCGAAUUGUCUAUUUAAUGUUGGUAUUUGUUAAGCGCUUCCUAUGUGCAGAGCGCUGUUCCAAGCGCUGGGGUCGAUACAGGUAAUCAGGUUGUCCCACGUGGGGCUCCCAGUCUUCAUCCCCAUUUUACAGCUGAGGCCACUGAGGCCCAGAGAAGUGAAGUGACUCACCCACAGUCCCCCAGCUGACAAGUGGCAGAGCUGGGAUUCGAACCCCCGACCUCUGACUCCCAAGCCCGUGCUCUUCCCACUGAGCCAUGCCGCCCACUAUAUUCCAAGCGCUCCGUGCGGUGCUCUGCACGUUAUAAGCGCUCCAUAAAUACUAUUAAGUGAAUAAUAAUAAUAAGGUUGGUAUUUGUUAAGCGCUUACUAUGUGCCGAGCACUGUUCUAAGCGCUGGGGUAGACACAGGGUCAUCAGGUGGUCCCCCAUGAGGCUCCCAGUCUUCAUCCCCAUUUUCCAGAUGAGGUCACGGAGGCCCAGCGAAGUGAAGUGACUUGCCCACAGUCCCCCAGCUGACAAGGGGCAGAGCUGGGAUUCGAGCCCACGACCUCUGCCUCCAAAGCCCGGGCUCUUUCCACCGAG
RNAcentral lists this long non-coding RNA (3927 nucleotides) under Ornithorhynchus anatinus (platypus). Its description in RNAcentral is "lncRNA (ENSOANG00000036708.1)". Lineage: Eukaryota; Metazoa; Chordata; Mammalia; Monotremata; Ornithorhynchidae. The record is from RNAcentral.